GACGAACGCUGGCGGCGUGCUUAACACAUGCAAGUCGAUCGGAAAGGCCCUGCUUGCAGGGUACUCGAGUGGCGAACGGGUGAGUAACACGUGGGUGAUCUGCCCUGCACUUCGGGAUAAGCCUGGGAAACUGGGUCUAAUACCGGAUAGGAGCCAUUUUUAGUGUGAUGGUUGGAAAGUUUUUUCGGUGUAGGAUGAGCUCGCGGCCUAUCAGCUUGUUGGUGGGGUAAUGGCCUACCAAGGCGGCGACGGGUAGCCGGCCUGAGAGGGUGGACGGCCACAUUGGGACUGAGAUACGGCCCAGACGCCUACGGGAGGCAGCAGUGGGGAAUAUUGCACAAUGGGCGCAAGCCUGAUGCAGCGACGCCGCGUGGGGGAUGACGGCCUUCGGGUUGUAAACUCCUUUCGCUAGGGACGAAGCUUUUUGUGACGGUACCUAGAUAAGAAGCACCGGCUAACUACGUG
RNAcentral lists this ribosomal RNA (465 nucleotides) under uncultured bacterium. Its description in RNAcentral is "partial 16S ribosomal RNA". It matches the Rfam family "Bacterial small subunit ribosomal RNA", at positions 28 to 507 of the family's 1533-position model. The record is from RNAcentral.